UUCUGAGCCGCAAACAAGAUAUGGGUCUAUGUGGUUUCUAGCAAUGAGACGGUUUCCCCAUCUAGUUGACCUUUCGUGAUGUGGCAAGUUUCGUUUACCUUUUAGCCAUCAGUCACUGAUCAGUCUCCACUUCUGCUACUCAAGUUUGUUAAUGAGGGGGCUUUCUUUUUUUUUUUUUUUUUUUUNUUUUUUUUUUUUUUUUGUAUUUUGUAUUUUGUAGGUCUGCUCCCGCAGCAUAUGGAGGUUCCCAGGCUAGGGUUCGAAUCGGAGCUGUUGCUGCUGGCGUACACCACAGCCCCAGCAACUCGGGAUCCGAGCCGCCUCUGCGACCUACACCACAGGUCAUGGCAACGCUGGAUCUUUAGCCCACUGAGCAAGGCCAGGGAUUGAACCCACAACUUUAUGGUUCCUAGUCAGAUUCGUUAACCACUGAACCACGAUGGGAACUCCAAUGAGGGGGCUUUCUAAUCUCAUAAGAUGGCAUUAAUUUUUUGUCCCUAAAAUGCUUGUUUCUAGAAACAACUUCACUUUCAUGAUUAUCAAGUCUGGUUAACGUAGGGUCAUGACAUAUAUGUGCACAAAGAGAAAUGAGAAGUUGAAUUCUAGACCAAAAAGCCUUAGCAUCUUUGUGUUGUCAAAUACCAUUCUAGUUGAUUAUGUGGCUGAGGUAUGCAAAUAGUUUUCUCGCAUGUUCUCGACUUUGCUGUGCUCUGCCAAGGUCAUCAUUGCUUUGCUCAGUUGAGGUGCUAUGUUUUGGAAUUGCCACCAAAACCCUUUUUUGAGUUGAGAUAGGCUAGGGACUUGGAGUGAAACCUAAGAGUCAAGGAGUUCUGGGAAAAUUAUAAAUAGGCAUAGAAUGUCCUGGGUAAUUCUGUGGUAGAGGAAUUAAUUCUGAACACUAGGUACUAUUAAGAACUCGAUGGCCAAUUAAAUAGACGGAAAUUUUUUCAGAUGCUGCCAGAGUUUAGAAACCACCCAGUGUGUCAUAGCUUCAGGGAGCAAAAUGAAAUCACACUGCUUACCUUAACGCUCCAUCCAAACAAGAGAAAAUGAAGAAACACUUAAAAGUCUGAAUCCAGCUAAUCCUGGAGGCCACUGGUCCUGGGCUAACAGAAACCAAAGACGGUAACUGGGUGGUUGUUUGGGGAAAGAAAUCACAGGCUCACCAACCUGAAAGGGUCUUUAAACUUGGUGGAAUGAUGUUAUGAUUUUGUGGUACCCAUGAAAGUAAAUCCUUUCUUUGACAUAAUACUUUAUAGCUUACUGAAUGUGUUCACAUUUACAUUCUUAUUAAGCAACCCUGGGACACUGGCAAGGGAAACACAAUUCUGUUUUAAGAAGAGAAAAACUAAGCUUUGGAGGCCUAGAAGGGCUUGUUUCAAGUUAUAUAGCUGGUAGAUGGCAGAACCAGAACAAUAAUCUAGGUGUUUUUUGUUUGUUUGUUUGUUUGCUUUUUUUAAGGCCACCCAUGGCAUAUGAAGGUUGCAGAUGCAGCUCAGAUCUGCUCUUGCUGUGGCUGUGGCUUAGGCUGGCAGCUGUAGCUCCGAUUGGACCCCUAGCCUGGGAACCUCCAUAUGCCAUGGGUGUAGCCCUCAAAAGACAAACAGACAAACAAAAAGUUUAAACCUUGAUUUGACCCUUAAGCUGGGGGCUGAGGUCUGCCUCCAAGCAGAUAUGCUGCCCUGCAGGGUUUGCCCUCCCCCUAGCAGUGACUGCCUGGGUGUUUGCUUUUUUUUCUUUGCAUAAGACCAUCAUGUCAGGGUCAUCUGAUCACUGUCACACCCAUGUGGACACUUCAGUUGGGAUUCUUGGUCUACUUUCUACCCUUGCCCAACUGGAAGAUACUGUUCAAAUCUCAACAUGAAUAAUAGCUAAGCCUUCAUGGUUUAUGGGAAAUAAGACUAUCUUCCAUGUAUCUACUGCUUUACAGUUUAUGAAGUGCAUGUAUUUGCAUCAUUUACUUACAGUUUGUAAGGUGCUAUGGGUCCAUAAAAAGUGUGUAAGAAUUUAUCUCUGCCUUGGAGGAGCUUCUAGUGUUUGGGAGGCUAGACCAAAAUACAUAAACUGCAGAUGAUAAUGUUCAAUGAAGUUGUUAAUUAGAUGUCAUGGAUUAAAAGUAUAGUGAUAUUUUAGAGACAAAAGCAGGGGCUUGGGGUUCGUGGUAGAGCUGCCUUCAUGGAGCAGAGGUGGAGUGGGGGGAGGUAAUGUGAGGGAGGGAGAUGGUAGUGAG
This 2230-nucleotide long non-coding RNA is filed under the name Sus scrofa (pig). Its description in RNAcentral is "lncRNA (ENSSSCG00055009289.1)". Lineage: Eukaryota; Metazoa; Chordata; Mammalia; Artiodactyla; Suidae. The record is from RNAcentral.